Molecule: small nuclear RNA, 82 nt
Filed under: Anolis carolinensis (green anole)
Lineage: Eukaryota; Metazoa; Chordata; Lepidosauria; Squamata; Anolidae
Description: 7SK RNA
Rfam family: 7SK RNA
About the family: 7SK was discovered as an abundant small nuclear RNA in the mid-70s but a possible function has only recently been suggested.
Source: Rfam by way of RNAcentral
CGAUCUGGCUGCGACAUCUGUCACCCCAUUGAUCGCCAGGGUUGAUUCGGCCAUCUAUCAGGGAUGUGGUUUUCCUGUUUCU